This 347-nucleotide long non-coding RNA is filed under the name Capsicum annuum. Its description in RNAcentral is "long non-coding RNA (CANN_LNC005306)". The record is from RNAcentral. Lineage: Eukaryota; Viridiplantae; Streptophyta; Magnoliopsida; Solanales; Solanaceae.
UAUACUAAAAAAAAUAGCCUGCAAUACGGUUAUCACUAAUCUCUAUAUAAUAAAUAAAAAUGUUAAAACCCCCCAAAAAGGUGAAAAACGUGAAAGUGCAGGAAGCUAAUUCAAAAGAAAAAACAUAUUCACACGCAUGAAAGCUAAUUCAAACAAUCUGCAGUAGCAUCGAGCAGUAGCCAUUAACUGAGAAAACUUUAGCAGUAGCCAUUAACUGAGAAAACUUGAUAAGGUGGUUAUCAAAAUAAAGAAAAAACAAUUAACAACAUCAAUUGAAAAAAAAUGAGGCCAAUCAAUAGAUCAAAAGAAAAAUUCAUCCGAAAACCUAGAUCAUCAUCAAUUGUAAA